UAAUACGGAGGGUGCAAGCGUUAAUCGGAAUUACUGGGCGUAAAGCGCACGCAGGCGGUUUGUUAAGUCAGAUGUGAAAUCCCCGGGCUCAACCUGGGAACUGCAUUUGAAACUGGCAAGCUAGAGUCUCGUAGAGGGGGGUAGAAUUCCAGGUGUAGCGGUGAAAUGCGUAGAGAUCUGGAGGAAUACCGGUGGCGAAGGCGGCCCCCUGGACGAAGACUGACGCUCAGGUGCGAAAGCGUGGGGAGCAAACAGGAUUAGAUACCCUGGUAGUCCACGCUGUAAACGAUGUCGAUUUGGAGGUUGUGCCCUUGAGGCGUGGCUUCCGGAGCUAACGCGUUAAAUCGACCGCCGUGGGGAGUACGGCCGCAAGGUUA
RNAcentral lists this ribosomal RNA (377 nucleotides) under uncultured Serratia sp. RNAcentral describes it as "bacterial SSU rRNA". It matches the Rfam family "Bacterial small subunit ribosomal RNA", at positions 521 to 896 of the family's 1533-position model. The record is from RNAcentral. Lineage: Bacteria; Pseudomonadati; Pseudomonadota; Gammaproteobacteria; Enterobacterales; Yersiniaceae.